GACGAACGCUGGCGGCGUGCUUAACACAUGCAAGUCGAACGGAAAGGCCCUGCUUUUGUGGGGUGCUCGAGUGGCGAACGGGUGAGUAACACGUGAGUAACCUGCCCUUGACUUCGGGAUAACUUCAGGAAACUGGGGCUAAUACCGGAUAGGAGCUCCUGCUGCAUGGUGGGGGUUGGAAAGUUUCGGCGGUUGGGGAUGGACUCGCGGCUUAUCAGCUUGUUGGUGGGGUAGUGGCUUACCAAGGCUUUGACGGGUAGCCGGCCUGGGAGGGUGACCGGCCACAUUGGGACUGAGAUACGGCCCAGACUCCUACGGGAGGCAGCAGUGGGGAAUAUUGCACAAUGGGCGGAAGCCUGAUGCAGCAACGCCGCGUGCGGGAUGACGGCCUUCGGGUUGUAAACCGCUUUCGCCUGUGACGAAGCGUGAGUGACGGUAAUGGGUAAAGAAGCACCGGCUAACUACGUG
Molecule: ribosomal RNA, 468 nt
Filed under: uncultured bacterium
Lineage: Bacteria
Description: partial 16S ribosomal RNA
Rfam family: Bacterial small subunit ribosomal RNA
Source: RNAcentral